CAGAGUGUAGCUAAGAUAGAAAAGCACCUCCCUUACACCGAGGAGACAUCCGUGCAAAUCGGGUCACCCUGA
This 72-nucleotide transfer RNA is filed under the name Thymallus grubii (Amur grayling). RNAcentral's name for it is "tRNA-Val". It matches the Rfam family "tRNA". Rfam says of the family: Transfer RNA (tRNA) molecules are approximately 80 nucleotides in length. The record is from RNAcentral. Lineage: Eukaryota; Metazoa; Chordata; Actinopteri; Salmoniformes; Salmonidae.